CCAGAAAUCCACCCAACGCGGCCUCUCAGGCCGAUGCCCUCUCAGCCCUCAGGCCGGCCCCUCGCGGCCCCCUGUCCCCUCAGAGCCCCCGGCCGCCGGCACCCCGCCUGGCACCCGCGGCCGGCGGGGAGAGGGUGUCUGUCUGCGCUUCCCCCUCUCCGAGUUAAUAUUAACCAGGGCUCAUGCGUUCCAGAACUGCUCUCAAAGUUCCACUGGGGACGAUCUUGCCAUGGUUGAGGGACUUGGGCGGCAGUCACAUUAGAGAGACAGAGACACACCGAGACGCGGAGGGACGGCGAGACGGGAGGAGGGACACGCACCUGAGAACAGAAUCCAGAAUGAAGUACUGGGAAGAACGCCCAUGUCUGGGCAAGGUGGGAAAGCAGCACCCAACUUUAUCAAGGCCUGCCAUGUGGAGGGGGUCCCACUGUCUGGGCUGUGGCCUCUGUGCCUCUGUAUGCGUCCAGGGAAACAGACAAAAAGGAUACACUGUCCUGGACCCAGGAAGACACAGGCAAAGGACCUCAGCAGCCACCGCCACCGGGCGCGCAGCGGUGGGCCGGCGGGAGGCGCGCGCCCAGGGCAAGCGAUCCCCGUCCGUGCGGAGACCUCAGACCCACCACCUGCGCUCUGGACGUCGGAGCUGGAA
Long non-coding RNA from Rhinolophus ferrumequinum (greater horseshoe bat), 649 nucleotides. RefSeq lists it as uncharacterized. The transcript has 3 exons. NCBI's taxonomy places the organism in Eukaryota, Metazoa, Chordata, Mammalia, Chiroptera, Rhinolophidae. The record is from RefSeq and is a predicted model, not a curated record.